RNAcentral lists this ribosomal RNA (253 nucleotides) under uncultured bacterium. Its description in RNAcentral is "partial 16S ribosomal RNA". It matches the Rfam family "Bacterial small subunit ribosomal RNA", at positions 524 to 776 of the family's 1533-position model. The record is from RNAcentral.
GACGUAGGGGGCUAGCGUUGUUCGGAAUUACUGGGCGUAAAGAGCGCGUAGGCGGUCUGUUAAGUUAGAAGUGAAAGCCCGGGGCUUAACCCCGGAACUGCUUUUAAAACUGGCAAACUAGAGUGCGAGAGGGGGUGAUGGAAUUCCUAGUGUAGAGGUGAAAUUCUUAGAUAUUAGGAGGAACACCGGUGGCGAAGGCGAUCACCUGGCUCGAUACUGACGCUGAGGCGCGAAAGCGUGGGGAGCAAACAGG